Molecule: ribosomal RNA, 394 nt
Filed under: uncultured bacterium
Lineage: Bacteria
Description: bacterial SSU rRNA
Rfam family: Bacterial small subunit ribosomal RNA
Source: RNAcentral
GACGAACGCUGGCGGCGUGCUUAACACAUGCAAGUGGAGCGACGAACCGGGCUUCGGCCCGGGGCAGAGCCGCGAACGGGUGAGUAACACGUGGGUAACGUGCCCCGAUGACUGGGACAACCCGGGGAAACCCGGGCUAAUACCAGAUGUGCCCUUCCGCCACCAGGCGGUCUGGUAAAGGUAGCUUCGGCUUCCGCAUCGGGAUCGGCCCGCGGCCCACUAGCUUGUUGGUGGGGUAAAGGCCUACCAAGGCGACGAUGGGUAGCUGGUCUGAGAGGACGAUCAGCCACACUGGGACUGAGACACGGCCCAGACUCCUACGGGAGGCAGCAGUGGGGAAUCUUGCGCAAUGCGCGAAAGCGUGACGCAGCAACGCCGCGUGGGGAAGACGGCC